Molecule: long non-coding RNA, 7159 nt
Filed under: Olea europaea (common olive)
Lineage: Eukaryota; Viridiplantae; Streptophyta; Magnoliopsida; Lamiales; Oleaceae
Description: long non-coding RNA (OEUR_LNC005903)
Source: RNAcentral
CUAUGAGCAGACGCUUCAUACCGUCAGAUGUAUACACGUGUUCCACAUCCCACGGUUCAUACCACCUAUAAAUACCCAAAGUUUGGCAAGAGGCAAAGGUAAUGAAACUCUCAAUACAUAGCAUUCCAUAACAAGUUUAUAUAUUCUCCUCCCCCUUUAUUGAUUGGUUUGUGUAGCCCCUGGGCACUGUUCCAACCAUCCAAACCUGACUUGACCGUCGGAGUGUAUACGGCUGCCACCACCCCCGUCGGUUCCGGCCGUGUGCGCCUGACCAUUUGUUCAUUUCGCAGGGAGGAAUACGUGGAGUAGCUAUAAGUUGGCCACGUAGAGGAGCCAUUUUUGGAGAUCAACAGUUUGGCGCCGUCUGUAGGAACUCAUUCCCCAUUUGAAGUUUUACAUUCCCCAUCGGAGAAGACACCGGAAAACCGGCGACUGACCCUGAAAAGGGGGCAUUCUUGAAAAAGAACAAAAGUCGAAUUACAAUCCAAGUUCUUACUCCCCUUGAAAGAAGAGGCAGGAUGAGCUACAGCCGUGAAGACAAUCCCAUGGGAGAGGCCUCUGAAGAAGAGGUACUCCAUAACAAUGUUACUCAUCAGAGAUCGCAUCACCGGCGUUGACGAGGCGAAAGAACGGCCAUACCCACUGAAGGAAUGGCCCAGAUAGCAGCGGGUAUGAGAGACAUAGCAGCUCAGAAUAUGGCGAUGCGGGAACUUCUCAUGCAAGCCCAGAGACACCAGAGGCCCCAAGGAUCUUAUCCGGUACAGGAAAUCCCUUUGUCUCACUCUCGAGGCCACAUGAGCUGGCACACAGAACGUCCUCUCGAAAGAGAGGGGAACACCGAAGCGACAUCUUAUGUGCAGGAGAGUCACCCAUCAGAACCACUCUUGGGGGACAACUUUCCUCAAGAACACGAUGACCAGAGGUCAGUGAGCUUCUUCGACCGGAUAGGGAACGAUCCUAGCAAUAGGGUCCGCCCUUCAAGAGGGUCGGUCCGGUCAGACCACGAAGAAGAGCAUGUUCCCUCUCCUCCUAGAAAUAGGAGGGAGAGGAGAAACUUAGUCGAUUGGGGGAGCCGGGGAAAAGCACCUCCUCCACCCCCAAGACAUCCAAGAUGAUGAAGGAUCAGAGGGGCCCUGUCGAUCUUAUGAGAUUGACGACGAUGACGAUAACCUCCCUUUCUCAAGAGAAAUCCGAAGCUUCCCAAUGCCAACUAACUUCAUGCCCCCUAAGAUCCCCAAGUAUGAGGGAAAAGGGGAUCUGGAGAAGCACCUCACAAAGUAUAUGACACAAAUGAGUCUUAGGGGAGCCUCACAUGCUCUAAAGUGCAGAGCCUUCCAUUUAACACUAGGCGGAGCCGCUGAGGUGUUGUACAGCAGGCUUCCUCCCCUAAGCAUCAGAAGUUGGCCGGACUUGAAGAAAGCACUUUUGAACCAGUACCUCUCACGCAGGGAAGGAGAGGCGCCAAUCCAACGCCUGCAAGACAUGAGGCAGGCCCUGGAGAGACGCUGAAAAGCUAUCUCGCUAGGUUUACAGACGAGAUUACUUACUGCGAGCAGGUCACUGACAGGGAAGCCCUUUCAGCCCUGAAAGGUGGUCUCAACAUGAACACUUUAUUUUGGAGGGACGUGCACAGCAAAAAUCCCUCCACAUACGACGGGUUGGUGGAAAUGAUGAGGGUGGAAAUUGUUAGUGAAGAAAUGAUUGAUCAUCGCAACCGUGCCACGCAGGGACUCCCUCCCCCACAGAGGCAGGUAGGUCGAGGCCCCGCAGCGCACCUUGUUACUCAGCAAUGGACCCAAGCAGGGCAUACCAUAGCUCCCACAUCCGGACAGGCCCUAGCUUCCGCCACAUUGAACGCAGUGCCGGUGUUGGCAUAUGAUAACGCACCUGUCGAGGCAGGACCAUCUGGAAGAACUGACAACAACAAGAAGGAGAAAAAGAGGCCAAACAGGCCCUUGCCAGGAGCAAGAUUUUGUACUUUCCAUCAACUAUACGGGCAUGACACUAGCGAGUGUCGGGAUGCCAACCGGCGUCUUGAUCGAAGUAACCCCCACACUUCCAGCAGAAACGAGCACCCCCACAGAUCCACCUCCCCGAGGAGGGGAGGAAGGGGUCACCAGGAACAAUCUCCUCGCAGAAGAGAAUCGAGAAAUCGAGGCCAAUCCAGGCAAGAGAACCAAGCCCAAUUCGCUGGAAGCCAAGUCAUCAGGGAAAUCGAUACCAUCAUUGGGGGACCCCACGUCGGUGGCAACACCAGGAAUGCCCAGAGAAAUUAUACAAGAGAAGCUAAGGAUCCCCCGAUGAUCACCUACAUUGUCGACGAAUCAAAAUCAGCAAACAAGAUGGCCCCAAUCACCUUCUCCCAGGAAGACUCAGAGGGAGUUCACCAUCCCCAUUGCGACGCUUUGGUUGUAAGGGCCGUAGUGGCUAGAAACGGAUUAAAACGCAUGCUCGUUGACAACGGCAGUUUCGUGAACAUAUUGUUCGACUCCACUUUUGACAAAAUGCAAAUUGAACAUGGGUUAAUCCCCAUGACCGACCCACUGUUCGGAUUCACUGGGACAGCAUCAUCCCAUGAGGGCGGAUUACCCUGCCUGUGGAAAUGGGUUCGGCCCCCCUGGUCGCCCAGCAUUUCAUGGAAUUUCUGGUGGUAGAUCAUAGGUCGGCUUAUCAUGGAGUAUUGGGCAGACCUGCUCUAAAAGAUCUUUGGGCUGUGACGUCCAUUCACUAUCUGUGCAUGAAAUUCCCAACUGAACAUGGGAUUGCAACGGUCCGGGGCGAUCAGAUGGGCUCCAGGGCAUGCUACCUAAACUCGCUACGUAAAUCUGAGCCCCCGAACUGUCAAUGUAAUUCUAGCCGAAGUACCCGCUGAAGCCGGUAUGGAUGUGAAAAUGCUCGACGCCCCUGAACAAGGGCAUACCUCUGAACAAGAGGAAGAUGUCAUAAUGGAAGAGGCCCCUGAACAAGGACACCCUCUUGAUGAGUUAGACCCCCGAAUAAUCGAUUAUGAACCAAAUGCGACCCCAAUGGAAGAACUGGAAACUUUCCCAGUCAAUCCAGAAGACCCAAUCAAGCCUUGCGCAUAGGGAAGUCAUUAUCGCUUGAAGCAAAAAUUGAGAUGAUACGAUUCCUGAAAGAAAACCUGGAUGUCUUCGCAUGGAAACAUGAGGAUAUGGUGGGAAUAGAUCCCAGGAUCAGUUGCCAUCACCUUAACAUCAACCCCUCCUAUGCCCCCCAUAGACAGAAGAGGCACGCCCUGAACCCGGAACGGUACGAGGUGUUGAAAGACGAAGUAAGUAAACUUAAUCGCAGUGGUUUCAUCAGAGAGGCCAUACAUCCGAGGUGGAUAUCCAACCCGGUUCUGGUGAAAAAGUCCAGCGGGAAAUGGAGGGUUUGUGUGGACUUCACAAACCUGAAUAAGGCAUGUCCCAAGGGCAGCUUCCCACUUCCAAGAAUUGAUCAACUAGUGGACUCCACUGCUGGGCAUGAACUACUGAGUUUCAUGGAUGCGUACUCAAGGUACAACCAGAUACCCAUGUUCCGGCCUGAUGAGGAAGCUACAUCAUUCAUUACGGACAGGGGGCUGUAUUGCUACAAAGUUAUGCCCUUCGGAUUGAAAAAUGCCGGGGCCACAUAUCAGAGGUUAGUCAAUAUGAUGCUUGCCGAACUCAUUGGCAAAACCAUGGAGAUCUACGUGGACGAUAUGUUGGUCAAAAGCCUCCAGGCGGCCGAACACGUGAGCCACAUUGACCAAACUUCCAGAUACUCAGAAGGUAUAACAUGAAGCUGAACCCCCUCAAGUGCACUUUCGUAGUGGCAUCAGGCCAGUUCUUGGGAUACAUUGUAAAUCAGAGAGGAAUUGAGGCAAAUCCGGCAAAGGUAGCGGCUUUACUAGAAAUGAGGUCACCUCAGAAACCGAAGGAGGUCCAAAGUCUCAAUGGCCGGAUAGCCGCACUCAGCCGCUUCAUCUCCAGAGCCACUGAUAAAAGUUUGCCUUUCUUCAAUGUAUUGAAGCAAGGAAAGAAAUUCCAAUGGACUUCGAAGUGCCAAGAAGCCUUCGAGUCUCUAAAGAAACACCUCGGUGAAGCACCCCUCCUGUCGAAACCCCAUCCGGAUGAAUCUUUGUUGCUGUACCUAGCAGUUUCAGACGUGGCAGUCAGCGCGGUCCUAACCAGGUAAGAAAAUGAGCGUCAAUUGCCGGUAUAUUACAUCAGGAAAGCACUUCUCCCAGCUGAAACACGCUACUCCGACAUGAAAAAACUGGCACUCGCACUUAUCACAGCCUCGAGAAAGCUGAGGCCAUAUUUCCAAGCCCACUCAAUACAAGCCCCUCCCCAAACCAUAACUCCCUUCCGAGGCCAUUCGUUAAGAAAUUUUUUACAGUCCAAAUGGGUGCUGAAACUUACGGGUUUGGAAGUUUUUCCUAGCCGGAAAUGGUACAGGAUCGCCGGAAGUAUCGUUCUCUCUCGCCGGAGUUGCUUGCAAAACGCCGAAAAUCGCCGAAAAUUUGAGAGCAAAAUAUGGUUUUCGUCUGGCAAAGAUAGAAACUCUGAUAAAACCCCAAAGUUCGCCUUUUAUAGGAAAGACAAGUCCAAUCUCCACCGUUGAAUUCAAAUACGAUCAAUCUAAACCGUUCAUCGCAUCUUCAAUCCGGACCGUUGAAAUGAAACGCCAGAUUUGAUCUACGCCCAAGAUGUCGCUGUGACUUUCACGCUAAAUUGAAACGCGUCACCUCGGUUACAAACAGCCGUCAAUAAUAAUUAUUAGCCGCAGCAGCGUUUUAGGAGAAUGGGCAUGGUACCCAACUAUCACCUUGGAAACACGCAACAGUUGUCAAAACAUUGGAUGUUUGGGUCGCUUCGGAUGAGCUCCUCCUCCAACUUUACAAAGCUUGGACGCACCUGACGCGAAUGCCCCAUUGGCUCAUCGCCUCGGUCGCUGCGUUUCCUCCCAUGCUUUACAAAGUUUCGGCCAUCUCCCCACGCGUCGACCUUUUCCUGUCAACGCGUCGGUGCGAGAUGAGCUCCUCCAACUUUACAAAGCUUGGACGCACCUGACGCGAACGCCUCAUUGGUUCAUCGCCUCGGUCGCUGCGUUUCCUUCCAUGCUUUACAAAGUUUCGGCAAUCUCCCCACGCGUCGACCUUUUCUUGUCAACGCAUCGAUCCGAGAUGAGUCCCUCAAACUUUACAAAGUUUGGACGCACCUGACCCGAACGCCCCAUUGGCUCAUCGUCUCGGCCGCUGCGUUUCCUCCCAUGCUUUACAAAGUUUCAGCUACCCCCACGCCGCGGCCCGGUCAGGAAAACAAAUCCACGUAUAAUAUAAAUAUUCAUUCCCGAAUUUGGGGGACCACUGUUAUGCCUCGAUUAUUCGAGCCUUGAUACCGAAGUGUCAUCUCACCACCAAGCAGACCAUCUGCCGAAGCAUCCCACCUCCUAGAUACCGAAGUGUCGUCUCACCACCGAAGCCAAGAUCAAGUAUACCACUCCGACCCUCCCGAAGCUUCUCCGAAGUGAUAUAUCGAUUCCUACUACUGAUCUGCCGAAGCAUCCCACCUCCGAGGUCAGGAUCAAGUGGACUCCGGUUAGAAGAUCCACCGCCAAUUUAAGAUUUGUCCUGCAUCUAAGGUUUAAAUUGAUUUGACGUCCCCAUGAGGCUAUUUGAUGUGACUUAUCAACUUUAUGUCAAUUCAACUCGGGGAAAACAAACUGCCCGCCCACUCUACAAGCGCGGCUGAUUGACGCCUAUGAGCAGACGCUUCAUACCGUCAGAUGUAUACACGUGUUCCACAUCCCACGGUUCAUACCACCUAUAAAUACCCAAAGUUUGGUAAGAGGCAAAGGUAAUGAAACUCUCAAUACAUAGCAUUCCAUAACAAGUUUAUAUAUUCUCCUCCCCCUUUAUUGAUUGGUUUGUGUAGCCCCUGGGCACUGUUCCGACCAUCCAAACCUAACUUGACCGUCGGAGUGUAUACGGCCGCCACCACCCCCGUCGGUUCCGACCGUGUGCGCCUGACCAUUUGUUCAUUUCGCAGGGAGGAAUACGUGGAGUAGCUAUAAGUUGGCCACGUGGAGGAGCCAUUUUUGGAGGUCAACAUCGAGAACAGUUUUUUUUUCACAAAUUUCUUUACAAAAUUUUAAGAUUAUUUGGAGCAGUCAAAUUGUACGUCUGCAGAGAUGAAAUUUGGUUCUAUGAAACUGCCGUAUGCCAUAUAUGCAGUACAUUGAGUGCUUAUAAGCAAUAACACUAUUUACUUGGGCCAAUGCAAAUAAUACCUGGUUAUUAUCCUAAAGAAGAAAAAGGAAAUUAGUAACUGCUGGUCAGUUCAAUUUUUUAUUUUGAUGUUUGGUGAAGCACCAAGAUAAAUUUGUAUUAUGUAUACUAUUUUUCAUCCGUGAGAGAUGGGGUAAGAAAUUGCGGCCCAGACAAAAGGCGAAGACGUUCUUCAAUAGGCUGAGAGCCAGCAAGAAACUAGGACUACUGUUGUUGGGUGGGGAAAGAAAAGAGAAAAGCAUUGUCAGAAAAUUAAACAGCAUGCUGAAACCUAACCCUACGUGUGGGGUUCCUAUAUCCUUGUCUAUGGAGGGUUAAGGGUUUGGCCUCUGGUUGACUUACAGGUGGAGAAAGCUCUGCAGAACUGAGGACAGAGUACGAGGUCUUCAAGAGAGACUCCGCAACCUAGUUGAAGCUGAACAGUCAAUAAAUACUGCUGCAUUAACAGAACAGUCAACAAACUCAACUUCAGUUACAAUCAAGGUCCCUUCACCUGCUGAUAAAGUUAUAUAAUAGUUGAGUAUGGUGCAGUUGAAUUUAUCCUUCAACUGGAAAGUAAGCUUUUGAAACCUCUUGUAACUUCCAUUUGUCUGACACUUGGCCGAUCUUGAAUAUUUUACUAGCAGCAAUUUCUGAAAUCUUUUCCAUACGUGAAAAAAUUGUUAUUUUUGUUUUUUUGUGAAGUAAUUAACCCAUCUUGAAUGAUUUACUUGAAAUGCUCUUAAACUAUAUUCUGUCGAUUGUUGGUAACAUUAAUGAAGAUCUAGCUUUCGAUAUUGUUAAUUGUGAGCUUGAUUUCAUAUGGAUAAGAUGAACUGGCCCUACUAUGUUCUAUUACUCUUCGUAGUAGAGAAUGCGAGGGUAGUAUUAUAUUGUAAUCCUAGG